AGCAAAGAAAAAAAAAGGCCUCUAUUAUUCUGUGAGCAACAAACCAAACUGGGUUGGGGGUCUCAGGCAAUUCGUUCAUAUGAUUGCAACGACAGACAGAAACUCCCAGAUUGGAGAGGUCGGGAGAGCACA
This is a long non-coding RNA of Myotis davidii, 132 nucleotides long. RefSeq lists it as uncharacterized. The transcript has 3 exons. Lineage: Eukaryota; Metazoa; Chordata; Mammalia; Chiroptera; Vespertilionidae. The record is from RefSeq and is a predicted model, not a curated record.